AGUGAACGCUGGCGGUAGGCCUAACACAUGCAAGUCGAACGGCAGCACAGUAAGAGCUUGCUCUUACGGGUGGCGAGUGGCGGACGGGUGAGGAAUACAUCGGAAUCUACUUUUUCGUGGGGGAUAACGUAGGGAAACUUACUCUAAUACCGCAUACGACCUACGGGUGAAAGCAGUGGAUCUUCGGACCUUGCGCGAUCGAAUGAGCCGAUGUCGGAUUAGCUAGUUGGCGGGGUAAAGGCCCACCAAGGCGACGAUCCGUAGCUGGUCUGAGAGGAUGAUCAGCGACACUGGAACUGAGACACGGUCCAGACUCCUACGGGAGGCAGCAGUGGGGAAUAUUGGACAAUGGGCGCAAGCCUGAUCCAGCCAUACCGAGUGGGUGAAGAAGGCCUUCGGGUUGUAAAGCCCUUUUGUUGGGAAAGAAAAGCAGCAGGUUAAUACGCCGCUGUUCUGACGGUACCCAAAGAAUAAGCACCGGCUAACUUCGUG
RNAcentral lists this ribosomal RNA (492 nucleotides) under uncultured bacterium. RNAcentral describes it as "partial 16S ribosomal RNA". It matches the Rfam family "Bacterial small subunit ribosomal RNA", at positions 29 to 507 of the family's 1533-position model. The record is from RNAcentral.